Molecule: transfer RNA, 77 nt
Filed under: Clostridium chromiireducens
Lineage: Bacteria; Bacillati; Bacillota; Clostridia; Eubacteriales; Clostridiaceae
Description: tRNA-Arg
Rfam family: tRNA
About the family: Transfer RNA (tRNA) molecules are approximately 80 nucleotides in length. Their secondary structure includes four short double-helical elements and three loops (D, anti-codon, and T loops).
Source: RNAcentral
GCAUCCAUAGUUCAGUUGAAUAGAGCGUUGGACUUCGAAUCCAGAAGUCGUGGGUUUGAGUCCCACUGGGUGCACCA